CCUACGGGAGGCAGCAGUGGGGGAUAUUGCACAAUGGGGGAAACCCUGAUGCAGCGACGCCGCGUGAGUGAAGAAGUAUUUCGGUAUGUAAAGCUCUAUCAGCAGGGAAGAAAAUGACAGUACCUGACCAAGAAGCCCCGGCUAACUACGUGCCAGCAGCCGCGGUAAUACGUAGGGGGCAAGCGUUAUCCGGAUUUACUGGGUGUAAAGGGAGCGUAGGCGGCGAUGCAAGUCAGAAGUGAAAGCCCGGGGCUCAACUCCGGGACUGCUUUUGAAACUGUAUGGCUAGAUUGCAGGAGAGGCAAGUGGAAUUCCUAGUGUAGCGGUGAAAUGCGUAGAUAUUAGGAGGAACACCAGUGGCGAAGGCGGAUUGCUGGACAGUAACUGACGCUGAGGCGCGAAAGCGUGGGGAGCAAACAGGAUUAGAUACCCGGGUAGUC
RNAcentral lists this ribosomal RNA (440 nucleotides) under uncultured bacterium. RNAcentral's name for it is "partial 16S ribosomal RNA". It matches the Rfam family "Bacterial small subunit ribosomal RNA", at positions 338 to 795 of the family's 1533-position model. The record is from RNAcentral.